This 588-nucleotide ribosomal RNA is filed under the name uncultured bacterium. RNAcentral's name for it is "bacterial SSU rRNA". It matches the Rfam family "Bacterial small subunit ribosomal RNA", at positions 338 to 916 of the family's 1533-position model. The record is from RNAcentral.
CCUACGGGAGGCAGCAGUGGGGAAUUUUGGACAAUGGGCGCAAGCCUGAUCCAGCAAUGCCGCGUGCAGGAUGAAGGCCUUCGGGUUGUAAACUGCUUUUGUACGGAACGAAACGGCUCCUUCUAAUACAAGGGGCUAAUGACGGUACCGUAAGAAUAAGCACCGGCUAACUACGUGCCAGCAGCCGCGGUAAUACGUAGGGUGCGAGCGUUAAUCGGAAUUACUGGGCGUAAAGCGUGCGCAGGCGGUUAUAUAAGACAGAUGUGAAAUCCCCGGGCUCAACCUGGGACCUGCAUUUGUGACUGUAUAGCUAGAGUACGGUAGAGGGGGAUGGAAUUCCGCGUGUAGCAGUGAAAUGCGUAGAUAUGCGGAGGAACACCGAUGGCGAAGGCAAUCCCCUGGACCUGUACUGACGCUCAUGCACGAAAAGCGUGGGGAGCAAACAGGAUUAGAUACCCUGGUAGUCCACGCCCUAAACGAUGUCAACUGGUUGUUGGGUCUUCACUGACUCAGUAACGAAGCUAACGCGUGAAGUUGACCGCCUGGGGAGUACGGCCGCAAGGUUGAAAACUCAAAAGGAAUUGACGG